Long non-coding RNA from Alexandromys fortis (reed vole), 696 nucleotides. RefSeq lists it as uncharacterized. NCBI's taxonomy places the organism in Eukaryota, Metazoa, Chordata, Mammalia, Rodentia, Cricetidae. The record is from RefSeq and is a predicted model, not a curated record. The transcript is spliced from 3 exons.
UCUGCUUCACAGCAAGUCCAAAAGGUGGAGCCCCCUGACCAUAAACUGAAGCAGUGACCCCAAAUGAGUCCUUGCUAUUAAAUCAUUUGUCUCAGCCAUUCAGAUACUCACAGGUCACUACACCCAUGAUCUAAGAGGAUGCGGCUAUUGCUUGAGCUGGCGUCACCCAUGUGAUGCUGGUUUUAUGAGAACGCACAAAGCAAGAGUGGUGGUGACCUCAUGGUUUCCACUUAGACUGGAAAGGGAAGUGUGGGAAGCCAAGCACUGUGUAGUAAGGACAACAUGACGUACUCCUCAUAUAAGCCAACGGAAGUGACUCUCGGGACGUUUCUACCGAGUACUUGUGUAAUUCAUCACAACUCAGAUUCAGAGAUGUCUGGUUGGUUCACUGAACUGCCAUAAUGCAAAAACCAGUCCCUCCUUCCUAUUCUGAAGGUAAAUGUCAUUUUUUUUAAUUAACUUUUUUUAAUUUUUUCUUUUUUGAGACAGGGUUUCUCUGUAGCUUUGGAGUCUGUCCUGGAACUAGCUUUUUUUUUUUUUUCUUUUAAUUUUAUUGAGCUCUACAUUUUUCUCUGCUCCCCUCCCUUCCUCUCCCCUUCCCUUCUUCCCUCUCCCAUGGUCCCCAUGCUCCCAAUUAACUCAGGAGAUCUAGUCUUUUUCUACUUCUCAUGUAGAUUAGAUCCAUGUAUGUCUCUC